RNAcentral lists this unclassified non-coding RNA (1112 nucleotides) under Hevea brasiliensis (rubber tree). The record is from RNAcentral. Lineage: Eukaryota; Viridiplantae; Streptophyta; Magnoliopsida; Malpighiales; Euphorbiaceae.
AUUCUACUUCGAUGAGUGAGCAAUGAAACAAAUAUCGAGUAAUAUGCAGAGCUCCCUCCCCUUCGAUAUUGCCCUUAAAAUCGUUUCAUCUCUUGAGGUAUUGGAUGUGUGUGCAUUGGGUAGUUGUUCUCGAUUUUGGAGGGAGCUAUGCGGGUUGGAUUGCUUAUGGGAGUCUCUUACCAGAGAAAGAUGGCCUUUGGUUACUUUUCCCAACAAUUCUUCUUCUUCUUCUUCGGAUCCUAUCAUCAUCAAGGGAUGGAGGCAGAUUUACAUAAGGAUGCAUAGAGAGAUGGCGGGUAACGCUACUGCUGUGGUUGAGUUUGUGGAGCAUUGCUCUUCAUCUAAUAAGUCGCUCGCGUUUGGGGACUAUUACAAAGCAGUUGAAGAAUUGUGUUCGAAGCAGCUUGCAUUUAGGGAUGUCCAAAUGUUUCUUUUCAAACCAAAGCUGAAUGUGCUGCUUAACUUGAUUGGUUUGCACUACUGCAUUUUCUGCCUUCAAGUGCAGGCUGGGCAUGUCAUGGAUGCACUCCAAAGUUGCAAAAUUUCAGAGCAACAAGUGUGUGUGAAAUGGUGGAAACUUGGCAGAUGGUUUUAUGGCUUCCGCAUGAGAGAUGAAUUUCAUUCUCGUAUAAUAUCCUUGGCAGAUCUUCUAACAAACAAAGGGGAGGAGGUUUUGGGUGUCCUUUGCCGAGGUGCCAUUCAUGAGUUAUUACGUAUUGAGAUCUGCAUUUCAAAUGUGGCAUCUACUCCUUGGUCUUGGCAAAGCUCACAGCAACAAGAGUAGGAUUGCUGCAAUAAUGGGCUUCUGUAUAUAAUUGUUUAUGCUCUCUUAUGUUGCAACUUCCAAUUGCCAAAGAAGAAGGUGCUUCUCCAAGGUGAUUUAUGUUGUUAAUUCCACAUCGUAUCUCUGAUCCUAUAAAAUCAUGUAAAGAAAUGGCUGCUGAAUGCGGCUAAGAUUAUGGCAUGUUCAUAAUGUUUGGGUCUGAAUGCUUAUUGAUAUUUAUGUAAGUUGACAUGUUUGUUUUCCUCUGGCUUGUCCUCUGUGGAAAAUAAAGGAACUGAAGCUGAAUCCUUGUGCAAAUGUUGAAAUCUUUCAAAAAAUUUAAUUCCAU